This 377-nucleotide ribosomal RNA is filed under the name uncultured bacterium. RNAcentral describes it as "bacterial SSU rRNA". It matches the Rfam family "Bacterial small subunit ribosomal RNA", at positions 521 to 896 of the family's 1533-position model. The record is from RNAcentral.
UAAUACAGAGGGUGCGAGCGUUGUCCGGAAUCACUGGGCGUAAAGGGCGCGUAGGUGGCCCGACCAGUCAGUGGUGAAAGCUCGACGCUUAACGUCGAGUCGGCCACUGAUACUGUUGGGCUGGAGCACUGUAGAGGCUCAUGGAAUUCCGGGUGUAGCGGUGGAAUGCGUAGAGAUCCGGAAGAACACCGGUGGCGAAGGCGGUGAGCUGGGCAGUUGCUGACACUGAGGCGCGACAGCGUGGGGAGCAAACAGGAUUAGAUACCCUGGUAGUCCACGCCGUAAACGAUGGGCACUAGAUGCUUGGGGGAGCGACCCCCUGAGUGUCGACGCUAACGCAUUAAGUGCCCCGCCUGGGGAGUACGGCCGCAAGGCUG